CUACGGGGGGCUGCAGUGAGGAAUAUUGCACAAUGGAGGAAACUCUGAUGCAGCAACGCCGCGUGGAGGAUGACGCAUUUCGGUGUGUAAACUCCUUUUAUAUGUCAAGAAAAUGACGGUAGCAUAUGAAUAAGCACCGGCUAACUCCGUGCCAGCAGCCGCGGUAAUACGGAGGGUGCAAGCGUUACUCGGAAUCACUGGGCGUAAAGGACGCGUAGGCGGGAUAUCAAGUCAGGUGUGAAAUCCUACAGCUUAACUGUAGAACUGCACUUGAAACCGGUAACCUAGAGUAUGGGAGGGGGAGAUGGAAUUAGUGGUGUAGGGGUAAAAUCCGUAGAUAUCACUAGGAAUACCUAAAGCGAAGGCGAUCUCCUGGAACAUAACUGACGCUAAGGCGUGAAAGCGUGGGGAGCAAACAGGAUUAGAUACCCGAGUAGUC
This 439-nucleotide ribosomal RNA is filed under the name uncultured bacterium. RNAcentral's name for it is "partial 16S ribosomal RNA". It matches the Rfam family "Bacterial small subunit ribosomal RNA", at positions 339 to 795 of the family's 1533-position model. The record is from RNAcentral.